This is a long non-coding RNA of Erinaceus europaeus (western European hedgehog), 1977 nucleotides long. RefSeq lists it as uncharacterized. The record is from RefSeq and is a predicted model, not a curated record. The transcript is spliced from 2 exons. NCBI's taxonomy places the organism in Eukaryota, Metazoa, Chordata, Mammalia, Eulipotyphla, Erinaceidae.
UCAGUUCUAUUACGUACUUUUUUUUUUAGUUUGUACUGUUUCUUAAGUGAAUAGUGUAAAACAUCUACUUUUAUUAUUAUUUUGUUAUUGCUGUAUUGGGGCUCAGUGGUUUAUAGUGUGGUUGUUGUCACGUGGUUACAGUUUCUCCAUCUGUCUGUAGAAUAUUCUCACCCUCAACGUAGGUCCUUUUUCACAAUCAUGCACCAAGACCCGAGUGCCCUCUCCCUCCCUACCCUUCCUCUCCUUCCUCAGAGUCCUUUGGUGCAAUGCCCCACACCCAGUUCACGUUCACUUUGUGUUUGUACCACAAGUACUGGGUGAUCUCACAGGUGGAAUUUAAGGAAUAAAAACAGAAAGGGGGGGAGUCGGGCUGUCUGCUUUCAUGGAAAACAAAGAUAGUACUUUUUUUUUUAAAAAAGGUUUAUUUAAUUUUACCUGUGGUGAAAUUAUGUUUCUUAUGAACUAUCAAUAAAGAUUUUGUAGGGAGUUGGGUGGUAGCACAGCAGGUUAAGUGCACAUGGCAUGAAGCACAAGGACUGGCUUAAGGAUCCUGAUUCAAGCCCCUGGCUCCCCACCUGUAGGGGAGUUGCUUCACAAGCAGUGAAGCAGGUCUGCAGGUGUCUUUCUCUCUCCCUCUGUCUUUCCCUGCUCUCUCCAUUUCUGUCUGUCCAACAGCAAUAACAACAAGGGCACAAGGGCUACAAAAAUGGGAAAACUGGCCCAUAGGUAAGCAGUGGAUUCAUAGUGUAGGCACCGAGCCCCAGUGAUAACCCUGGAGGAAAAAAAAAAAGUUACAACAUACGUAAUCACAAAAUCUGAUUUUCAUUGCUUCCUUAUAAGGAGCCCAGAGUCUCUGGGUAAUGGAAAUGGUUUUAGGGGUUUAGUUUUAGAUCCCUACACACAUGGAAUCUUUUUGAUAGUAAAUACUUAGAUAUAGCUAAGUUCCCUUUAAAAAAUAUUUACAUAGUUUAUUAUUUGACUAGUUAAAAUAAGUUUUCUAGUGGAUUUCAUUAACCAAUGUAUAUUAAAGGUAAAUUGACUCAGUCUCUAUUCACCACUUUCUUAAGGAUUUAUUUAUUUAUGAGAGAGAACCAAAGCAUCACUCUGUUUUAUACAGUACUAGGGAUCAAACUUGGGAUCUCAUGCUUAAGGGUCCAACUCUUAAUCCAUACACUACCUCCUGGGCCUAAAAACAUAACUUUCAAAAUAUAAGAAAAAUUGCCUAUCAAAAUAAUUCACUUAAGAAUUGUGAACUACAGAUUAAAAUCAACUUUAACUCAUCAAAUAACAAAUUAUAUAAAUAUUCAAAAAUAAAAGAACUUAACCAUAUUUGAGUAUUGUCCAAAAGAUAUCCCUGAAACAUUAAAAUUUUGCAAACCAAUGUCUUUAAUAGUAAAAAAUAAUUUUAAAAGUUCCUUAUGUAGAUAUUUUCCCAGUAUGUAACCAUAUAAUCAAGUCAGUUAUGAAAGAGAUUACCAUCUCUGGAAAAAAAUUAGUAUAACUUUGUAAAACCAUAAAGAUUUAGGGGAGAAAUUGUGACAUACCACUCAAAAUGCAAAGGAUUACAAGAAAGUACUAUGAGCAACUUUAUGCCACUAAAUUGCAGAACGUAGAAAAACCAGACAAGUUCUUGGAACCACAGUCUUCUAAAACUGAACCAGAAAAGUCUCCUCAGUGGUCUGGGAUGUGGUGCAGUGGAGAAAGCACUGGGCUCUCAGGCGUGAGAGUUCCUGAGCUCAGUCCUGGCAGCACAUACACCAGAGUGAUAUCCCUUUCUUUCUCUCUCUCCUCCAAUCUUUCUCAUUAAUAAAUACAAUCUUUAGGGGGAAAAAAGGUCCCAGGUGUUAUACACUGUUAAGCACACAUAUUACCAAAUGAAAGGACCCGGUUCGAGCCCCCUCUACCCACCUGCGGGGUGGUGCUUCAUGAGUGGUGAAGCAGGCGUAUGUCUUUCUUUCCCCUUUUCCUUUCUUUAUU